This 341-nucleotide ribosomal RNA is filed under the name Ceriagrion chaoi. Its description in RNAcentral is "partial 16S ribosomal RNA". Lineage: Eukaryota; Metazoa; Arthropoda; Insecta; Odonata; Coenagrionidae. The record is from RNAcentral.
UUGACUGUACAAAGGUAGCAUAAUCAUUAGUCUUUUAAUAGGAGGCUGGUAUGAAAGGUUUAACGAAACAUAAACUGUCUUAUUUAUAAAUUUAUAAUUUAACUUUUAAGUUAAAAGGCUUAAAUUUAUUUGGAGGACGAGAAGACCCUAUAGAGCUUUACAUUAUUUAUUUUUAAUAUUUACUUGUUUUAUAAUUUAAUAUUAAUGCUGAUAUUGUUUUGUUGGGGUGACAAGAAAUAUAUAUUUAACUUUUAUUAUUUAAUUUACAUUAAUUUAUGAAUUUUCGGAUCCAUUAUUAUUGAUCAUUAGAUUAAGUUACCUUAGGGAUAACAGCGUAAUAU